GACGACAACGUUGAUAGGAUGCAGGUGUAAAGCUGGAGACAGCAAAGCCGAGCAUUACUAAUUGCCCGUCAGCUUUCCUUA
This 81-nucleotide ribosomal RNA is filed under the name Phocaeicola plebeius. Its description in RNAcentral is "partial 23S ribosomal RNA". Lineage: Bacteria; Pseudomonadati; Bacteroidota; Bacteroidia; Bacteroidales; Bacteroidaceae. The record is from RNAcentral.